UAAAUAAACCACAUUCUGAUAUUCACUGUUUCUCAUGAGUAGUACAAGCUUUGCUGAGCUUCCUUUGAAGAGAAAACACAUACCUGAAUUCAGGUCAGGUCACUCUUAGAGGGUUGAAGCUCCAUAAGGAAGUUGACACCAGUCUCCUUUUCCUUGCUGCAGUGCAGUGUAGCUCCAUGUUUUUUCCACUGCUAUUUGCAAUUAAAUGGAGCAGCCCUUCCUGAGAUCCUCUCACCUCUUGGGUGAAAAACAAUAGAAGAGAAAAAUAAUUUCUUCCUCCAAAGCAUCCUGAUAUUUUCUGCUCCAGAUGCCUGCCCUGUGCUCUUCACCCAAUCAAAGACAAAACCAAAUGGCCUCAGUAAACCCAAAUGAAACCUCACUGAAAUUUAAAAGCUGUGUGGAUGAGGCAGCUGGAGACAUGGGUUAAUGGUAGGCUUGACAGUGCUGGAGAAUGGUUGAACUCGAUGAGCUUAGAGAACUUUCUCAACCUAAAUAAUUCCAUGAUUAUGUGAUUCUGUGAUUAUGAAAUCACAUCUCUUCCCAGCACAGUGCUCGAGUGGGGACAGUGCUGGUUUUGACCCCAGGGAAGGGAGGGGUGGGUGUGGACAGUCCUAGGUUACUGAAGGGAUGGGGAAGCCCUAAAAAAGAAGGAGGUGAGAAAACAGCACCGAGUGACUGGUGCAAGCAGGGGAAGCCUGGUGUGUGGGAGUGCUCCAGCCAACACUUCCAAACAACCAGUGGAGCAGAGACAUCAUAUCCAUGGGACAUGCAACCAAAAACCACAAGGAAUCACUACAGCAUCCCCCUCACCUGGGCACCUUGGAACCUCCUCUGCAGCAGGCAGACAAUAUUUCUCCUAGACUGUACAGAUUUCUUUUCUCAAAAGCAAAGGAGAAGGAAAAAAUACAAAGUAAUCCAGAAUAAAGAAAAAAAAAAACAAAAUCUCUCUUUAGCAAGUUCUUCCAGGUUGGGCUGGGUGAGAGCCAAGUUUAACACCUCCUGCAUGGUUGUGAGAGCUCCUUGUCAGCUUCUCCAUGGCACAGAAUUUUCUCUAGCACCUAUUACUCCCCACCAUCCCACUCAUAAUGCCCCGUGUUACCCUGCCCAGGGUCUCAUCACUUCAAAGGAGCCCCAACCCUGCCCAGCUGCAUCCUCAGCACUGCUCCUCCCUCACACCUCUCCAUCAAUCCUAACCUCAAUCUUUGUUAGGACUUCCUAACCCCUCUGCCCAUCCAGAAGGAGUUAAUCCUAGAUCUCCAUCCCCACCAGCAGUACAGCUUCCAGCACAGCACUAUAUUCCAAGCACCCCUGCAGCAGGAAUUCUAGCAGCUGGGGAUGAGAAGGGAUUCACAAUUGACCCUGCAGCAGGAAUUCCAGCAGCUGGGGAUGAGAAGGGAUUCACAAUUGGCUUUUUAGAAUCUAGCUCCCACAUCAGGAAGCCAUGGGCCCAUGGACAGAACCAACUGCUCCAAAUGAGAAAGCACCCCAGGAAAUAAAGGCAGAGAUAGCUGAGAGAGAGAAAUGGAGUUGGGGCAAGUUCAUGUGCUCCAGAUUCUUCCUCACUCUGAAACGUCAUGGCAACUUUUGGAGGUUGCCAAAAGGCCAACAAAAACCCUGGUUCCCUCAUCCCACCCCCAACAGUUUCUUAAACACUUUAUGUCCAGCUAAAGUGAAAUCAACAGAUUUCAAAAUCCACACAG
Molecule: long non-coding RNA, 1700 nt
Organism: Ficedula albicollis (Collared flycatcher)
Lineage: Eukaryota; Metazoa; Chordata; Aves; Passeriformes; Muscicapidae
Source: Ensembl